Molecule: ribosomal RNA, 354 nt
Filed under: uncultured bacterium
Lineage: Bacteria
Description: bacterial SSU rRNA
Rfam family: Bacterial small subunit ribosomal RNA
Source: RNAcentral
AUUGAACGCUGGCGGCAUGCCUUACACAUGCAAGUCGAACGGCAGCGGACCUUCGGUGCCGGCGAGUGGCGAACGGGUGAGUAAUAUAUCGGAACGUACCUUUCAGUGGGGGAGUAACGUAGCGAAAGUUACGCUAAUACCGCAUAUUCUGUGAGCAGGAAAGCAGGGGAGUCGCAAGACCUUGUGCUACUAGAGCGGCCGAUGGCAGAUUAGGUAGUUGGUGGGAUAAAAGCUUACCAAGCCGACGAUCUGUAGCUGGUCUGAGAGGACGAUCAGCCACACUGGGACUGAGACACGGCCCAGACUCCUACGGGAGGCAGCAGUUGGGGGAAUUUUUGACGAAUAGGCGGCGAA